GUCCACAGCGACCAGCGAAAUCCAAACCACGCGAACAUGCCCUAGUGGACACAGCCGGUGAAACGGCACGCGCAAAUUAAUUGUCACUCCCCCACUGAAUAUCGGCAAAGCCGUGAUCUCCCAAGACACCAGUCACCUAAGCCUGGGGAGGCGCUGAGGUCUUCAUCGCCCAGUGAGCCUCAGAUCUCAAAACCGAUGUCUGAUACUGGAUUGAUUUCUAGGCCGCCUGAGAUGACACCUGAGAGUGUAGAGUCUUCUAUAGUGGACUACCUCAAGUGUCACCCCAAAAAAAAGCUUAUCUGUCAGAUCCUGAAACAAAAGGUACAGUAUGCCCUCCAUUUUGGUUCUCUGUCAUGUUGCAUAAGUCUAGUAGGCUAGUAAAUGCUAAGUAUUAAUUUUAACAUGUUUUUCCCCCUUGUAAAUAUGUUUGUUUCUAAGGUUGUGACAAUAAGCAAUCUAGAGGAGAUUGCUGAGUGGCUGGCCUUGGUCUCCAGUGAGGUCUAUACCCCUGCACUGUCUAUUCACCGGACCUCUUUCCAGGAUGGGCUGUCCCCCCCGAGCACGCCUGACACUGUCGAGGAGCUCCCGCAUCGUCUGGAGACCAAUCCAGCUAUGACAGGAGAAGGACAGUCCAGCAUGUUGCCAGAGGGGUUUGGGGACAGUGGCCAGGAGAAUCUCACAACUCCCAGGUCUGGGCAAAGCAGCAGCCGAAGCAGCCAGACGCCGAGCCCUCCCAGCUACUGGCGAGUGGCAGAGAUCACAGCCAGACAAAUCUUUGAUGCCAUUCUUCACCGGAUUCCAUUCAAGAGUGGCUCAGUGAUGGAUGCCAACAGGAUCCUCAGGGAGAAGAUCCGUUACUUUAGGAUUGAGCUCAUCCACCAGGUGUACAACCUGCUUCAAGACAGUACUGUUGAGAGGUGGCAACUGUCCCACAAGAGCAAAUCCAAGCCCACCUGGAAACACCUGGCCACCGUCCACACGGAGAAUGACUUCCUGUUGAAAGUAGAGCUUAUGUUCUCUGAGACUGCCAUUGAGCAUCUGCUGAUGGACUUAAUUGGAUAUUCCCUAACCUCUGCAGAGCUCUCAGAGGACAACAAGAAGGCCCUAAGGGCCAUCUGUGAGGUGCUGUACGCCAGGAUGAUUGACAUCCUGCACCGGACCAGUAACGACAUGCUAAACAUCCAGAAAGGAGUGAAUUCCGGGGCCAGGAACAUGGUUUAUAACACUCCAGAGGAUGGAAACCGUACCUCUGUAGCCAGUGAUAGCUUGCUAACACCUGGUGAAUGUCUUCUGAUGAGCCCCGAUACCCUGAAGCACAUCAUCCAGGGUGUCCUGCGCCAACUGGAGGCCUCAGAGUCCCUGCAGGCCACGGGGGAGAAUGACCCCUUCAAGUUGAUGAUGGAGCUCUUCAGCGAUGUCAAGCGUUCCCUGAUUUGUUCUGGCAUCUCUGUCCUAUUUUAUGUGGAGGAAAGCCUGCAGUUUCGUGGGGAGGAUGCAGUAGAUGCCAUUGUAAAGGCUGCCUCUGAGAUAUUGUCCUUGAAUUCAGAGGCCAACCAGAAUCAGUGUUUUGUCCCACAUUACGGUGGCCCUUCAUCCAUCUGGGCAAUGGGAAACACCAUCACCAACGUAAUCCAGGACUACGCCAAGGACUGGAGUUUUCAGGGAGAUUUUGGAGGCCGGAGGAGUGUUGACAGUGAGAGGUCAAGGUAUUCCUCAAAUAGUGAUGUCACCCUCACAGAGGAGCUCCUGAAUCAAAAUGAAUCCCUGGAAGAGGUGUUAGUCUCCGGUCCUGUGACGACUCCACACAACAAUGAGAUGUGGGACUCUGAUGGAUUGGAUUUGUGCAGCAUGACCUCCCUCUCUUCAGACUGCAUGGAGUGCACCUCCACACAGGGUAGUAAACUACCUACAACCGGUGUGAAUGUCUCCACUGAAAAGACAUCAAACGACAAAGAAGACAGGAAGUUAUCAAUGGAUGUAACUGUGGGGAAAAAAGACAGGAAGUCCAGAAGGUGGAAACUAGGAAAGUUCCUGAUCAAAAAGAACAAGGUGGCCCCCUUUGGUACU
Molecule: long non-coding RNA, 2067 nt
Organism: Esox lucius (northern pike)
Lineage: Eukaryota; Metazoa; Chordata; Actinopteri; Esociformes; Esocidae
Source: Ensembl